AACAGGAAGUAGUAAGUGAGCCAGAAGGAGUAGUAUCUUCCUUCAACAGGAAGUGGUAAGUGAGCCAGAAGGUAUAGUAUCUUCCUUCAACAGGAAGUGGUAAGUGAGCCAGAAGGUAUAGUAUCUUCCUUCAACAGGAAGUGGUAAGUGAGCCAGAAGGUAUAGUAUCUUCCUUCAACAGGAAGUGGUAAGUGAGCCAGAAGGUAUAGUAUCUUCCUUCAACAGGAAGUGGUAAGUGAGCCAGAAGGUAUAGUAACUUCCUUUAACAGGAAGUGGGAAGUGAGCCAACAUCGGAGAAGCCGUGUUUACAGAGGGACGUGGUUUAUAUCGAUAGAUAUCUACUCUACUGGCGC
Molecule: long non-coding RNA, 353 nt
Organism: Oncorhynchus tshawytscha (Chinook salmon)
Lineage: Eukaryota; Metazoa; Chordata; Actinopteri; Salmoniformes; Salmonidae
Source: Ensembl